AUUGCGCCCCUGCUACAGAAAAUGCGGGAAAGUUUUGGAUCGCUCUCAGGUCAGUCAGUCAGAGAGAGAUGAUUUCGACGACGACAGCCGAGGGGCAGCUUCCAGAGAGUUCGGUGAGAUCGUUAUUGAAUUUCCUUUUUGCGAGAAGGACGGUGGUGGAAAAAAUCCACGCUUAGGAGCUGGGACCCGACAAGCCCGAAAAAUAUAUAACCCAGCCAACUAAAGAAAUUACAGUAUGACUGUGAAAUUGUUGUCAUUUUCUGACUGUUCAUUUCAAUACUUAUAUUGGACUAAGAAGGGACAUCUAUUAGUACGUCAGCCCCACCGAGAUUUUUUUUCACCAGCCGCCGCUUAAUAUUUAGGUCUAUAAAAACACAUUGCUUGACUGGCGUGAUCGGCCCGAAGCGGCAACCGAGAUCAAAGAAUCCAGUCUGUCCGUGAAAGUUUCCGGAGAUAGUUAACAAGGAUUUUCCCGUAAACGGAAAGAGGGGAUCGAAUCGCUCAGAGUAAAGGCGCGUGGACUAUGGCAGCGGAGCUGAAGCCGCGACUGUGCGUUAUUAAAAAGGCGGACUCUGGGUAUGGCUUCCAUCUGCAUGGAGAGAAGGGCAGAAGCGGCCAGUACAUCCGCAAAGUGGAGCCAGCGUCGCCCGCCGACAUAGCCGGGCUGCGCACCGGGGACCGGGUGCUGGAGGUGAACGGCGACAAUGUGGAGAAGGAGACGCACUACCAGGGGUAGACACGCACGUACAUCGCAUUUCCAAUCGCCUCGCCUGGAUGAGGACCAAGACCAAAUCCCCAGAGGACACGUGGAAGGCACUGGAGGACUAGUUCCCAAGGCAGCUGUGGAGUGAGGUUAACUGGCUGCUAGUGGGCUUCAGACAGCAACUCUGCCUGCCGAGAAACCCGCUCUGCUCCCACUGCCUGAACUGGCACAGCUGUCCCUCUGCACACUGCAUCUCCCCAGGCAGGAGCCCCUGCCCCUCAUCCUCAAGCCUCCUGACCAGAGCAAGGUGAAAGUGGAAUUGCCCCCACCCACUGACAGCUCAGGAACUAUCCUGUUAAGCAUCCAUCUGUUUGUGGGUUUACAUGGCUUUCCAUUGACACACAAUAGCAUCUCAAAACCAGUUCAAGUGUGUGAUUUUGUGAGUGUGUGCCCUACAGUGUACUGGCAGCCCGAACAGUGUGUCUCCUGUCCUGCUCCUUUGUGUUUGUGGAUUAGUCUCCAGACUACAGUUGAAACCAAAGGUUUACAUAUACUGUAUAAAAAGUCAUAUAACUUUUUUUUUCUUACUGUCUGAUAUUAAAUCAUACAAAACCCUUUCA
Brienomyrus brachyistius is the source of this 1323-nucleotide long non-coding RNA. RefSeq lists it as uncharacterized. The record is from RefSeq and is a predicted model, not a curated record. Lineage: Eukaryota; Metazoa; Chordata; Actinopteri; Osteoglossiformes; Mormyridae. The transcript is spliced from 3 exons.